AUACGUAGGGGGCGAGCGUUGUCCGGAAUGAUUGGGCGUAAAGGGCGCGUAGGCGGCGAUGCAAGUCGGUAGUGGAAGUCCUGUUUUCAAGGCAGGAAUUGCUAUUGAAACUGCAUGGCUUGAGUGCAGGAGAGGUUAUCGGAAUUCCCGGUGUAGCGGUGAAAUGCGUAGAGAUCGGGAGGAACACCAGUGGCGAAGGCGGGUAACUGGACUGCAACUGACGCUGAGGCGCGAAAGUGUGGGGAGCAAACAGGAUUAGAUACCCUGGUAGUCCACACUGUAAACGAUGAAUGCUAGGUGCAGGGGGUAUCGACCCCUUCUGUGCCGCAGUAAACACAUUAAGCAUUCCGCCUGGGGAGUACGGUCGCAAGAUUAAA
Molecule: ribosomal RNA, 377 nt
Filed under: uncultured bacterium
Lineage: Bacteria
Description: bacterial SSU rRNA
Rfam family: Bacterial small subunit ribosomal RNA
Source: RNAcentral